CCCCACUGCUAUCGGGAUGGGACUAAGACAUGCUAGUCGUGCGUCUCCAAGCCAUGGCGGAGACGCGGCGCACAGCUCAGUAACACGUGGCUAACCUGCCCUUAGGACAGGGACAACCCCGGGAAACUGGGGCUAAUCCCUGAUAGGUGAGGGUUCCUGGAAUGGGCCCUCGCCGCAAGGGCGCCUAGACCAUGCUUCUAGGUGCUGCCCAAGGAUGGAGCCGCGGCCGAUCAGGUUGUUGGUGAGGCAACGGCUCACCAAGCCUUUAACCGGUACGGGCCGUGAGAGCGGGAGCCCGGAGAUGGGUACUGAGACAAGGACCCAGGCCCUACGGGGCGCAGCAGUCGCGAAAACUCCGCAAUACGCGAAAGCGUGACGGGGCUAUCCCGAGUGCCGUCCGCUGAGGAUGGCUUUUCCCUAGUGUAUAAAGCUGGGGGAAUAAGGAGAGGGCAAGCCUGGUGUCAGCCGCCGCGGUAAUACCAGCUCUCCGAGUGGUGGGGAUGCUUAUUGGGCCUAAAGCAUUCGUAGCCGGUUGGGCAAGUCCUCCGUUAAAUCCAGCGAUUCAAUCGUUGGACUGCGGGGGAUACUGCCCGGCUUGGGGGCGGAAGAGGCCGACGGUAUUCUCGGGGUAGGGGUGAAAUCCUAUAAUCCCGGGAGGACCACCAGUGGCGAAGGCUGUCGGCUAGAACGCGCCCGACGGUGAGGGAUGAAAGCUGGGGGAGCGAACCGGAUUAGAUACCCGGGUAGUCCCAGCUGUAAACGAUGCAGGCUAGGUGUUGGCGCGGCUACGUGCCGCUCCAGUGCCGCAAGGAAGCCGUUAAGCCUGCCGCCUGGGAAGUACGGCCGCAAGGCUGAAACUUAAAGGAAUUGGCGGGGGAGCACCACAAGGGGUGAAGCUUGCGGUUU
This 906-nucleotide ribosomal RNA is filed under the name uncultured archaeon. RNAcentral's name for it is "bacterial SSU rRNA". It matches the Rfam family "Archaeal small subunit ribosomal RNA", at positions 21 to 903 of the family's 1478-position model. The record is from RNAcentral.